RNAcentral lists this ribosomal RNA (497 nucleotides) under uncultured bacterium. RNAcentral's name for it is "partial 16S ribosomal RNA". It matches the Rfam family "Bacterial small subunit ribosomal RNA", at positions 28 to 507 of the family's 1533-position model. The record is from RNAcentral.
GAUGAACGCUGGCGGCGUGCCUAAUACAUGCAAGUCGAGCGAACGGACGAUAAGCUUGUUUCUCUGAUGUUAGCGGCGGACGGGUGAGUAACACGUGGAUAACCUACUUAUAAUACUGGGAUAAUUUCGGAAAACCAGAUCUAAUACCAGAUGAUAUUUUGAACCGCAGGGUUCAAAAGUGAAUGACGGUUUUGCUGUCACUAAUAGAUGGUUCCGCGCUGCAUUAGCUAGUGGGUAAGGUACCGGCUCACCAAGGGGACGAUGCAUAGCGGAUCGGAGAGGGUGAUCGGCCACACUGGAACUGAGACACGGUCCAGACUCCUACGGGAGGCAGCAGUAGGGAAUCUUCCGCAAUGGGCGAAAGCCUGACGGAGCAACGCCGCGUGAGUGAUGAAGGUCUUCGGAUCGUAAAGCUCUGUUAUUGGGGAAGAACAUAUGUGGAAGUAAAUGUGGCCAUCUUGACGGUACCUAAUCAAAAAGCCCCGGCUAACUACGUG